UCUUUCGUAGUAUAGUGGUCAGUAUACGAGCUUGUCAAAAUUGGUAGCUACUUCAGUUACCAGCUUAACAACGCUCGGGACCCGGGUUCAAUUCCCGGCGAAAGAG
Coniella lustricola is the source of this 106-nucleotide non-coding RNA. NCBI's taxonomy places the organism in Eukaryota, Fungi, Ascomycota, Sordariomycetes, Diaporthales, Schizoparmaceae. The record is from the annotation of a GenBank genome assembly.